AUACGGAGGGGGCUAGCGUUGUUCGGAAUUACUGGGCGUAAAGCGCACGUAGGCGGCACACACAGUCAGAGGUGAAAGGCCUGGGCUCAACCCAGGAACUGCCUUUGAUACUGGUGAGCUAGAGUCCGGGAGAGGGUAGCGGAAUUCCCAGUGUAGAGGUGAAAUUCGUAGAUAUUGGGAAGAACACCGGUUGCGAAGGCGGCUACCUGGACCGGUACUGACGCUGAGGUGCGAAAGCGUGGGGAGCAAACAGGAUUAGAAACCCGGGUAGUCC
RNAcentral lists this ribosomal RNA (274 nucleotides) under uncultured bacterium. RNAcentral describes it as "partial 16S ribosomal RNA". It matches the Rfam family "Bacterial small subunit ribosomal RNA", at positions 523 to 796 of the family's 1533-position model. The record is from RNAcentral.